AUACAGAGGGUGCAAGCGUUAAUCGGAUUUACAGGGCGUAAAGCGCGCGUAGGCGGCUAAUUAAGUCAAAUGUGAAAUCCCCGAGCUUAACUUGGGAAUUGCAUUCGAUACUGGUUAGCUAGAGUGUGGGAGAGGAUGGUAGAAUUCCAGGUGUAGCGGUGAAAUGCGUAGAGAUCUGGAGGAAUACCGAUGGCGAAGGCAGCCAUCUGGCCUAACACUGACGCUGAGGUGCGAAAGCAUGGGGAGCAAACAGGAUUAGAUACCCGAGUAGUCC
RNAcentral lists this ribosomal RNA (274 nucleotides) under uncultured bacterium. RNAcentral's name for it is "partial 16S ribosomal RNA". It matches the Rfam family "Bacterial small subunit ribosomal RNA", at positions 523 to 796 of the family's 1533-position model. The record is from RNAcentral.